This 583-nucleotide ribosomal RNA is filed under the name uncultured bacterium. Its description in RNAcentral is "partial 16S ribosomal RNA". It matches the Rfam family "Bacterial small subunit ribosomal RNA", at positions 355 to 1375 of the family's 1533-position model. The record is from RNAcentral.
CUAAGAAUAUUCCGCAAUGGACGGAAGUCUGACGGAGCGACGCCGCGUGGAUGACGAAGGCCGAAAGGUUGUAAAGUUCUUUUGCUGGGGAAGAAUAACCGCAGGAGGGAAUGCCUGUGGGAUGACAAGAACCGGCGAAUAAGCCCGGCCAACUACGUGCCAGCAGCCGCGGUAACACGUAGGGGGCGAGCGUUGUUCGGAAUUACUGGGCGUAAAGGGCAUGUAGGCGGCUUGGAAAGCCUGGGCGUGAAAGUCUGCAGCUUAACUGCAGGGGUGCGCUGGGAACUGCUGAGCUUGAGUGACGGAGAGGGAGCUGGAAUUCCUGGUGUAGGGGUGAAAUCUGUAGAUAUCAGGAAGAACACCGAUGGCGAAGGCAAGCUCCUGGCCGAUGACUGACGCUGAGGUGCGAAAGUGUGGGGAUCAAACAGGAUUAGAUACCCUGGUAGUCCACACAGUCAACGAUGUGCACUAGGUGCUGGGGCGGUAGCUUCGGUGCCGGAGCGAACGUGGUAAGUGCACCGCCUGGGGAGUAUGCUCGCAAGGGUGAAACUUAAAGGAAUUGACGGGGUCAUAGCUGUUUCCU